This 492-nucleotide ribosomal RNA is filed under the name uncultured bacterium. Its description in RNAcentral is "partial 16S ribosomal RNA". It matches the Rfam family "Bacterial small subunit ribosomal RNA", at positions 29 to 507 of the family's 1533-position model. The record is from RNAcentral.
AGUGAACGCUGGCGGUAGGCCUAACACAUGCAAGUCGAACGGCAGCACAGUAAGAGCUUGCUCUUACGGGUGGCGAGUGGCGGACGGGUGAGGAAUACAUCGGAAUCUACUUUUUCGUGGGGGUUAACGUAGGGAAACUUACGCUAAUACCGCAUACGACCUACGGGGGAAAGCAGGGGAUCUUCGGACCUUGCGCGAUUGAAUGAGCCGAUGUCGGGUUAGCUAGUUGGCGGGGUAAAGGCCCACCAAGGCGACGAUCCGUAGCUGGUCUGAGAGGAUGGUCAGCCGCACUGGAACGGGGACACGGUCCAGACUCCUACGGGAGGCAGCAGUGGGGAAUGUUGGACAAUGGGCGCAAGCCUGGUCCAGCCAUACCGCGUGGGUGAAGAAGGCCUUCGGGUUGUAAAGCCCUUUUGUUGGGAAAGAAAAGCAGCAGGUUAAUACCCCGCUGUUCUGACGGUACCCAAAGAAUAAGCACCGGCUAACUUCGUG